GCCCAGACUCCUACGGGAGGCAGCAGUGGGGGAUAUUGCACAAUGGGGGGAACCCUGAUGCAGCGACGCCGCGUGGGUGAAGGAGCGUUUCGGCGCGUAAAGCCCUAUCGGCAGGGAAGAAGAUGACGGUACCUGACCAAGAAGCCCCAGCUAACUACGUGCCAGCAGCCGCGGUAAUACGUAGGGGGCAAGCGUUAUCCGGUUUUACUGGGUGUAAAGGGUGCGCAGGCGGCCUGUUAAGCCAGCGGUAAAAGCCGGGGCCCAACCCCCGGCGAGCCGUUGAAACUGGCGGGCUGGAGUUGGAGAGAAGUACGCGGAAUGCGCGGUGUAGCGGUGAAAUGCUUAGAUAUCGCGCAGAACCCCGAUUGCGAAGGCAGCGUACCGGCUCCACACUGACGCUGAGGCACGAAAGCGUGGGUAUCGAACAGGAUUAGAUACCCCAGUA
RNAcentral lists this ribosomal RNA (445 nucleotides) under uncultured bacterium. RNAcentral's name for it is "partial 16S ribosomal RNA". It matches the Rfam family "Bacterial small subunit ribosomal RNA", at positions 329 to 792 of the family's 1533-position model. The record is from RNAcentral.